This is an unclassified non-coding RNA of Papio anubis (olive baboon), 150 nucleotides long. It matches the Rfam family "Metazoan signal recognition particle RNA". Rfam says of the family: The signal recognition particle (SRP) is a universally conserved ribonucleoprotein. It is involved in the co-translational targeting of proteins to membranes. The record is from Ensembl. NCBI's taxonomy places the organism in Eukaryota, Metazoa, Chordata, Mammalia, Primates, Cercopithecidae.
GCCAGGUGUGGUGGUGCAAGCCUGUAGUCCUAGCUACUCAGGAGGCUGAGGUGGGAGGAUUACUUGAGCCCAGGAGUUUGAGGCUGCAGUGAGCUAUGAUGGCACGCCACUGUACUCCAGCCUGGGUGACAGAGUGAGACCCCAUCUCAA